This is a long non-coding RNA of Xenia sp. Carnegie-2017, 177 nucleotides long. RefSeq lists it as uncharacterized. The transcript has 3 exons. NCBI's taxonomy places the organism in Eukaryota, Metazoa, Cnidaria, Anthozoa, Malacalcyonacea, Xeniidae. The record is from RefSeq and is a predicted model, not a curated record.
UGACAUCUUGUUUCAAUUGGAAAUGAAAGUCAUUCCGGAUUCAUGUUAUUGCUGUUUAGUGAACAAGAAAUGGGUGGAUGAAGAUAUUGAAGAAGAUGUCGAAUUCGUUCACGAACGGCUAACGGAAAGUAUACAAGAUUUGAGGUAAUCAAAUGUCUUCUAAAUUUUUCAUCGUUU